UACGUAGGUGGCAAGCGUUGUCCGGAUUUACUGGGCGUAAAGAGCGCGCAGGCGGUCGUUCAAGUCGCGUGUGAAAGCCCCCGGCUCAACUGGGGAGGGUCACGCGAUACUGAUCGACUCGAAGGCAGGAGAGGGUAGUGGAAUUCCCGGUGUAGUGGUGAAAUGCGUAGAGAUCGGGAAGAACAUCGGUGGCGAAGGCGGCCUGCUGGGCUCUUGCUGACACUGAGGCGCGACAGCGUGGGGAGCAAACAGG
RNAcentral lists this ribosomal RNA (253 nucleotides) under uncultured bacterium. Its description in RNAcentral is "partial 16S ribosomal RNA". It matches the Rfam family "Bacterial small subunit ribosomal RNA", at positions 524 to 776 of the family's 1533-position model. The record is from RNAcentral.